UUAAAUUUUAUUUAUUAAUAUUGUUAUUGAUUGAUUUAAAUUAUUAAAAAUAAUUAUAAAAAAAAAUGUUUUAGUAUUGUUUAAAGAAAAAAUAAUUUUAAUAAUAGUGAAUUAGUAUUGUAAAAGAAAAUUGAAAUAAUUUGAAAAAAUAUUAUUAUAAAAGAAAAUUUAAUUUAUUGUACCUU
Molecule: ribosomal RNA, 185 nt
Filed under: Amiota setigera
Lineage: Eukaryota; Metazoa; Arthropoda; Insecta; Diptera; Drosophilidae
Description: partial 16S ribosomal RNA
Source: RNAcentral